ACGGGGUGCAGCAGGCGCGAAACCUUUGCAAUACACGAAAGUGUGACAGGGUCAUCCCGAGUGCCGACCGCUGAGGUUGGCUUUUACCCAGUCUAGAAAGCUGGGGGAAUAAGGAGAGGGCAAGUCUGGUGUCAGCCGCCGCGGUAAUACCAGCUCUUCGAGUGGUGUGGACGUUUAUUGGGCCUAAAGCAUCCGUAGCUGGCUGAUCAAGUCCCCUGUUAAACCCACCGAUUUAAUCGUUGGUCUGCGGGGGAUACUGCUCGGCUAGGGGACGAGAGAGGCAGACGGUAUUCCCGGGGUAGGGGUGAAAUCCUAUAAUCCCGAGAAGACCACCAGUGGCGAAGGCUGUCUGCUAGAACGCGCCCGACGGUGAGGGAUGAAAGCUGGGGGAGCGAACCGGAUUAGAUACCCGGGUAGUCCCAGCUGUAAACGAUGCAGGCUAGGUGUUUGGGCGGCCACGUGCCGCUCUAGUGCCGCAGGGAAGCUGUUAAGCCUGCCACCUGGGGAGUACGAUCGCAAGAUUGAAACUUAAAGGAAUUGGCGGGGGAGCAC
Molecule: ribosomal RNA, 552 nt
Filed under: uncultured archaeon
Lineage: Archaea
Description: bacterial SSU rRNA
Rfam family: Archaeal small subunit ribosomal RNA
Source: RNAcentral